GGAUGUGGCUCAAUUGGUAGCGCGCUCACCUGGCAUGCAUGGGGCACUGGGUUCAAUCCUCAGCACCA
This 68-nucleotide transfer RNA is filed under the name Marmota monax (woodchuck). RNAcentral's name for it is "tRNA.Ala". The record is from RNAcentral. Lineage: Eukaryota; Metazoa; Chordata; Mammalia; Rodentia; Sciuridae.